UAAGGAAUAUUGGACAAUGGAGGCAACUCUGAUCCAGCCAUGCCGCGUGAAGGAAUAAUGCCCUAUGGGUUGUAAACUUCUUUUAGACGGGACAAAACCCCUUUACGUGUAAAGGGUUGAUGGUACUGUCAGAAUAAGCAUCGGCUAACUUCGUGCCAGCAGCCGCGGUAAUACGAAGGAUGCAAGCGUUAUCCGGAAUUAUUGGGUUUAAAGGGUGCGUAGGCGGACUAAUAAGUCAGUGGUGAAAGCCUGCAGCUUAACUGCAGAAUUGCCAUUGAUACUGUUAGUCUUGAGUACAGUUGAGGUAGGCGGAAUGUGUCAUGUAGCGGUGAAAUGCUUAGAUAUGACACAGAACACCGAUUGCGAAGGCAGCUUGCUAAGCUGUAACUGACGCUGAGGCACGAAAGCGUGGGGAGCAAACA
This 422-nucleotide ribosomal RNA is filed under the name uncultured bacterium. Its description in RNAcentral is "bacterial SSU rRNA". It matches the Rfam family "Bacterial small subunit ribosomal RNA", at positions 355 to 774 of the family's 1533-position model. The record is from RNAcentral.